RNAcentral lists this long non-coding RNA (889 nucleotides) under Olea europaea (common olive). RNAcentral describes it as "long non-coding RNA (OEUR_LNC009715)". Lineage: Eukaryota; Viridiplantae; Streptophyta; Magnoliopsida; Lamiales; Oleaceae. The record is from RNAcentral.
ACUGUCAAAACCAUGAAAUGAUGGUUUUAUUGUGAAUGUAUUACUAAAUUAUUUUUGAAGUUGGCUCGUAGAGUUGCUAUAUAAGAUAGUUUGAUUAGAGUGAUACAUAGCUGUCGAUGAUUGAAGAUUCUGAAUCUUAAUAUAGCUUGCACGAGUUUCUCAAGCUGUCAAAAAUCGGAUAGGCGAUGAAUUGGUAAAACAAAUCCCCGGCUAUCUGUGUCUCGUUGGGAUUUAACGCACUGUGGUCUGUUGGUCUUAAGGCAUCACGGAUUUGAGUUGUUUUCUAGCUGCAGCUUUGUAUACCUGGUUAGAGCAUAUUUUGCGCACUUGGUUGACAAUCAAUGAGUUGGCGAACAUUCACACUUGCGCACUUGCUGUUAGCAUAGUCGAGGUCAACCAUGGCUGUCAUAUCAAGCUUGAUAAUGACUUAUCAAUCUCUUCAAUUUUUAGCAGAUUCAUAUGCAAAAAGAACACGAUGGCCUGCAAUAUAUUGUAGCAUUUGACAUUUGAGCCAGAGCCAUGAAUGGCAAUCUAGUCACAUGUUGCAAAAGUCUCGAGAUAUUGGAGUUUAAAUUCAAACGUCAAAGUGCGAUAAGAUAUUAUGGAUUUUUUUCCUUGUAUUUAAUUGGAUUUGAAUUAGGUAUUGAUUUAUUUAUGCAUCUGCUUCUUUAGUAGAAUCAAUUGUUCCCUUGUUUUGUGUGGUCAGACAUGAUUUCUUGCCUCUUUAAAGAGGCUAUUGACCAGCUGAGAGUUGACCUCCAGAGAUAUUUUGUCUUCCACUUUGGUGACGCUUCUGUUCACAUGGGGAUUUUGACAAAGUCUGCCUUGACAUAAUUAAAGGUGAUAACAGAUGAUUUGAUGGAAAAGUUUAAUGCGUCAAAAAUUGUCC